GUUGAAAGUGUAUACCCCAACUCUGAAUUAUAAAUGUAUAUCUUAUUUUUUAGUAGCAUUGAAAUACAAUCAUUGCCAAUUAAAAUGAAAGUAACAAAUGUUUAUCAUACUGCAACAUUAUACUUAUCAAAUUCCAACAAAACGUUUUGAUGCUAUCAUUAACUACUGACUCCAGUUUCUCAGGGUCAGGUGUUAUAGAAAAACCAUAUGUUGUCCUAACUAUGUCUGUGUGAAAGUUCUCAUAAACCAAUCAGGUUUCUGGUUCAAAUUCAAAAAGAAUUCCUUAACCAAUCAUACAGAUUCUUUCAAAAGAAUGUUAGAUUUUUAUGUCCUAAAAUCCUCCUGACACUCAAUUUGUUUUUCCUACUGACAUAGUCUUACUUUUUUGGAACAUGCAAGGUUAUUUUUGGAAGUUAUCCCAGCAAACACGUGCCAGAAUUAUAUCAGCAUCUAUUCCUGGAACUGGCAUGGAAUCAACAAUCUUUUACUACAGAUCUACGUAGUAUCUCAUCACAACAUCCAAACACCACUUCAUAACUGUUUUUUUUUCUCUUUUUUUCUGAUGUGGUUUAUCACAAAAAAAGUGUAAUUCUGCCAGGUUUUGCUUUCAACAAAUCAUAUUUCUUAUUCUAUAUAUUUGUUUACUGGCAGAUAAAGAAAGAGAUUUUGUAGAAACUUCCAAAACUGUGCCCUUUAAAAAGGUGGUAAUGUGGUGUUUAUUUUUCCCAUUCUUAGUUUACCUUGGAGUUUAUUUUUUUUUUUUUUUUUUUUCUGUUAAAAUCAUCUCUUAGAUAUCAUUUCUAAAAACAUGAACUAAAAUUUGUUGUUUAUGUUGAUGAGUUGAUGUCUUCCUAAAUUGUAAUAGUGCAUCUCCUGUUAUUUUCAAUAACUAAUAACUUGUAUUUGAUUCAAUAAAAUAUAUUCUAAAAUUGCAAUCUCUAAAUUUCUAAGGGGGAAUAGCGCAUUAUUUCUUUUGGACAAAACUUGAUUCUUUGUAAAGUCUCUAUACAACAUCUCUUUCAUCUAUUCAAUCAAUUGAUAGUUGUAUUACAUAAAUAUUUAGUAAAAGCAUUGUAAAACUUUUAGUUUCUAUUAUUUAUUCAAAAAUAUAUUCAUGGCCUACAUUUAUUAUUAAAACAACCAUUGUUGUGUAAGACUAUUUACGUUUUCAACCACCUGUAUUCAAAUUAAAUACAGCCUGCCAAAUUUAAGCGUUACUACCUUUCUUGCUUUUUAUAAUAUCCCUUGUAACGUUACACACAUAAAAUAAUGGUUGAAAACCAAAAAAAAAAACACAGAGAAGUUUGCUGAGCUUUUAAUUUACAAGAU
Molecule: long non-coding RNA, 1329 nt
Filed under: Mytilus galloprovincialis (Mediterranean mussel)
Lineage: Eukaryota; Metazoa; Mollusca; Bivalvia; Mytilida; Mytilidae
Source: RNAcentral